AUUGAACGCUGGCGACAGGCCUAACACAUGCAAGUCGAGCGAGUGGCGGACGGGUGAGUAAUGUCUGGGGAACUGCCUGAUGGAGGGGGAUAACUACUGGAAACGGUGGCUAAUACCGCAUACUAUCGGAUGUACCCAUAGGGGAUUAGCUAGUUGGUGGGGUAAAGGCUCACCUAGGCGACGAUCUCUAGCUGGUCGGAGAGGAUGAACAGCCACACGGGAACUGAGACACGGCCCAGAUUCCUACGUGAGGCAGCAGUGGGGAAUAUGGCACAAGGGGGGCAAGCCGGAUGCAGCCAUGCCGCGUGUAUGAAGAAGGCCUUCGGGUUUUAAAGUACUUUCAGCGGGGAGGCGUUACCCGCAGAAGAAGCACCGGCUAACUCCGUGCCAGCAGCCGCGGUAAUAC
RNAcentral lists this ribosomal RNA (406 nucleotides) under uncultured bacterium. RNAcentral's name for it is "partial 16S ribosomal RNA". It matches the Rfam family "Bacterial small subunit ribosomal RNA", at positions 30 to 526 of the family's 1533-position model. The record is from RNAcentral.